GGAGAGGUGCCAGAGUGGCCGAAUGGGGCGGUCUCGAAAACCGUUGAGGGGUUUCCCCUCCGAGGGUUCGAAUCCCUCCCUCUCCG
RNAcentral lists this transfer RNA (86 nucleotides) under Spirochaetota bacterium. RNAcentral's name for it is "Spirochaetes bacterium (wastewater metagenome) tRNA-Ser". It matches the Rfam family "tRNA". From Rfam's summary of the family: Transfer RNA (tRNA) molecules are approximately 80 nucleotides in length. Their secondary structure includes four short double-helical elements and three loops (D, anti-codon, and T loops). The record is from RNAcentral. Lineage: Bacteria; Pseudomonadati; Spirochaetota.